GCGAUCGGAGAUAUUUUGUUCGAUACGCGUUCUGUUCAGUUGCUGCAACGUCACAAAGUUGCAGUAUGCAAAAUUUGUGACAGCGGGGCGGAGAGAGCAGCCAAUCAGGAAGCGGUGACCUCCCCGGAAGUUUACUUCCGUCGUUUGUCGUCUGCUUGCAGACAGUAUACUACAAAACGAAAUGUUUCUCGUCUUCCAAAUGAAUGAAAUCGUUACCUAAAAAAACGUAUUUUAUCUUCUCAAGCCCAAACACGUUUUCAAAUAGUAGUACGUGUGACUACUGCAAUUUAUAACUAUUAGGUUCUUUGCGUCGUCCCUAGGUGGUGUCGCGCACAGCGAGAAGAAAAAAGAAAAAGAAAACGACGGGAGGAGUGGCGCACUUUUCAAGGGGCAGCGACAACAUUCCAGUGGCUCGCUGGCACCAAUGAUGUUGUCGAUUUAUCUGUACAACCAACGAAUUAUUUGUUUCGAGAAACAAAAACGACGCCGGAAUUCACUUUCUGCCAUUUCUUCAAACGCGUAUCGCACCGCCACCCGCUCUCCUCCUUCCUCUAGAAACGCCAGCGCAACAACAAAAGUUCCCAACGGAAGCGCCAUUUUCUCGAAUUAAACUAUGGAUUGGAUUCAAACGUGCUAUUCCGCAGCCGAAAGAAAGCCGAAAAGGCCGCCUGUUGGAUCCAAUCCAAUCCACCAGACGCGCCAUGCGAAGCCGUAUGAUCGCUCCAAACUUCUCAACUCCCGUCGCGUUCGGACGAAAUGCUCGGUGGGCGGAUGAUUGACAGGAGCGUGUCGUCAUUUUGACGUCACCAAAAACGGGGCGGCGCCCCGCGGCUGGCGACGUCGGCGCGGAGAAGGCCAAUCGCGCGCGCCGGUAACCGAACGAACGCGCCGAACAACCAUCUCCGAUCGCACCCCAGCUGUUCAGCCGCAGUACUGCUAUUGGAUUGCAGUUAUACAGGGCAGAAAGCGUUGAAGGCCUCCAAGACUCGGAGGGAACAGAAGCGUUUACAAUGACAAUGAAUGACGUCUUUGAUGCACUCAACACAAAGCAUCCUGCAGAAGGAAUACGAAAGGCCUCGCCGAAGAUUGAGAUAAUCAAGAAGUUUCUCGACCUGCUCAACAUCACGGAACACAACUACCACCACCGAAACAUGCUUAUGUUUGCCUCGCGACAAACAACCGAAGCUUUGCGUGUUACGCUAGUGUCGGUACUCGACAUAAUUGAUGAGCUCCACGAAGCUGGUGUCCCCUACAUACUGACAGUGAAGCUCAACCAAGAUCUCCUAGAGAAAUUUUUCGGAGUUGUCCGUUCAUUUCAUGGCGACGAUGACCACCCAUCCGUACGUAGUUCAAUUCAGCCAGAUUUAUAGAUUGUUGUCUUUGUUCACACCUGUGAAAAAUACAGUGAGAGGAAAUUGCUCUGGCGCUCCCGAUGGUGUACUGGUGUCUCUUCACGACAGCUUGGGGCAAAAGGCGAAGGCUGCUGCUGAGCUGAAAGGUGCAGUUGAAGCAAAGCUAUACAAGAAGCUAUGUGGGAUGAGUCUUUCAGUAGGCCACAUGAAUGACUUGGGCGACCACGGGUACCAAAAAGUAGGAACACAAGAAAUGGUUGUCUACUACCUGGCUGGAUAUACAUUGAAGAAAGUUACGAAAUCCAUGUCUUGCGAACGGUGUGUUGAAUCACUGGAAAGUGCUUCUGUGCCACCAAGUGCGGGUGACCCACGACCCUCGCAUAGCCUUUUGACAGAGCUGAGGUCAUUCAAGCCAGGGUGCUUACGUGAACCUUCUUUCAGAAUGUUCAUCGUCAUCAAACACAUAGAAGAAAUAAUUCGUCACACACUCGACAGUAACGCAGUUUUUGGUGACUUAUUUUGGAGCAUCCUGGACGGGCUAGACAAAGCAUCUGUGCCGGCACUAGGAUGUGACAAUCAUUAUGAGGAGGUGACUGCUAAUGUCAUCAAGUUCUAUCUUGUCAUGCGCAUGCACUUCAUUUCAAAAAAAAUAAAAAAUGAACAGUGGGGCAUCGCUCACAAAACAGGUGCAAGCAGCCAUAAAGAGAGCAAAAUUGCUUUGAGCAAAAGUAGCUCAAAAUUACUUUUUUGUGCACAAAGUAAAUAAAAAGUGUCACUGUG
This is a long non-coding RNA of Dermacentor andersoni, 2132 nucleotides long. RefSeq lists it as uncharacterized. The record is from RefSeq and is a predicted model, not a curated record. Lineage: Eukaryota; Metazoa; Arthropoda; Arachnida; Ixodida; Ixodidae.